RNAcentral lists this ribosomal RNA (387 nucleotides) under uncultured bacterium. RNAcentral's name for it is "bacterial SSU rRNA". It matches the Rfam family "Bacterial small subunit ribosomal RNA", at positions 28 to 417 of the family's 1533-position model. The record is from RNAcentral.
AAUCAACGCUGGCGGCGUGCCUCAGACAUGCAAGUCGAACGCGAAAGGCUCCUUCGGGGGUACACGAGCGGCGAACGGGUGAGUAACACGUGGGUGACCUGCCCUCAGCUCUGGGAUAAGCCUGGGAAACCGGGUCUAAUACCGGAUAUGACUCCAUGACGCAUGUUGUGGGGUGGAAAGCCUUGUGCGGCUGAGGAUGGGCCCGCGGCCUAUCAGCUUGUUGGUGGGGGAUGGCCUACCAAGGCGACGACGGGUAGCCGGCCUGAGAGGGCGACGGCCACACUGGGACUGAGACACGGCCCAGACUCCUACGGGAGGCAGCAGUGGGGAAUCUUGCGCAAUGGGCGAAAGCCUGACGCAGCGACGCCGCGUGAGGGAUGACGGCCU